AUGGACCUGCAUAUCA
RNAcentral lists this ribosomal RNA (16 nucleotides) under Globisporangium ultimum var. ultimum. Its description in RNAcentral is "partial 28S ribosomal RNA". The record is from RNAcentral. Lineage: Eukaryota; Oomycota; Peronosporomycetes; Pythiales; Pythiaceae.